This 492-nucleotide ribosomal RNA is filed under the name uncultured bacterium Bulk4. Its description in RNAcentral is "bacterial SSU rRNA". It matches the Rfam family "Bacterial small subunit ribosomal RNA", at positions 569 to 1058 of the family's 1533-position model. The record is from RNAcentral.
GCGCAGGCGGUUUCUUAAGUCUGAUGUGAAAGCCCACGGCUCAACCGUGGGAGGGUCAUUGGAAACUGGGAGACUUGAGUGCAGAAGAGAAGAGCGGAAUUCCACGUGUAGCGGUGAAAUGCGUANAGAUGUGGAGGAACACCAGUGGCGAAGGCGGCUCUUUGGUCUGUAACUGACGCUGAGGCGCGAAAGCGUGGGGAGCGAACAGGAUUAGAUACCCUGGUAGUCCACGCCGUAAACGAUGAGUGCUAGUGUUAGAGGGUUUCCGCCCUUUAGUGCUGCAGCAAACGCAUUAAGCACUCCGCCUGGGGAGUACGGCCGCAAGGCUGAAACUCAAAGGAAUUGACGGGGGCCCGCACAAGCGGUGGAGCAUGUGGUUUAAUUCGAAGCAACGCGAAGAACUUACCAGGUCUUGACAUCCUUUUGCCCUCCCUAGAGAUAGGGAUUUCCCUUCGGGGACAAAAGUGACAGGUGGUGCAUGGUUGUCGUCAC